RNAcentral lists this ribosomal RNA (253 nucleotides) under uncultured bacterium. RNAcentral describes it as "partial 16S ribosomal RNA". It matches the Rfam family "Bacterial small subunit ribosomal RNA", at positions 524 to 776 of the family's 1533-position model. The record is from RNAcentral.
UACGAACUGUGCGAACGUUAUUCGGAAUCACUGGGCUUACAGGGUGCGUAGGCGGCUAUUCAGGUCAGGUGCGAAAGCCCCCGGCUCAACCGGGGAACUGCGCUUGAAACCGAGUGGCUCGAGUCAGCUAGAGGUACACGGAACUUCCAGUGGAGCGGUGAAAUGUGUUGAUAUUGGAAGGAACACCGGAGGCGAAAGCGGUGUACUGGGGCUGGUCUGACGCUGAGGCACGAAAGCCAGGGGAGCGAACGGG